CUACGGGGCGCAGCAGUGGGGAAUAUUGCACAAUGGGGGGAACCCUGAUGCAGCAAUGCCGCGUGAAGGAUGAAGGUUUUCGGAUUGUAAACUUCUUUCGCUGGGGAAGAAAUAAAUGACGGUACCCAGAUAAGAAGCCCCGGCUAACUAUGUGCCAGCAGCCGCGGUAAUACAUAGGGGGCAAGCGUUAUCCGGAUUUACUGGGUGUAAAGGGUGCGUAGGCGGCAAUGUAAGUCAGGUGUGAAAACCCGAGGCUCAACUUCGGGACUGCACUUGAAACUACAUAGCUAGAGUACAGGAGAGGUAAGCGGAAUUCCUAGUGUAGCGGUGAAAUGCGUAGAUAUUAGGAAGAACACCAGAGGCGAAGGCGGCUUACUGGACUGAAACUGACGCUGAGGCACGAAAGCGUGGGGAGCGAACAGGAUUAGAUACCCGAGUAGUC
RNAcentral lists this ribosomal RNA (442 nucleotides) under uncultured bacterium. RNAcentral's name for it is "partial 16S ribosomal RNA". It matches the Rfam family "Bacterial small subunit ribosomal RNA", at positions 339 to 795 of the family's 1533-position model. The record is from RNAcentral.